RNAcentral lists this long non-coding RNA (448 nucleotides) under Gallus gallus (chicken). Lineage: Eukaryota; Metazoa; Chordata; Aves; Galliformes; Phasianidae. The record is from RNAcentral.
GCAAAACAUGCAGAUUACCUUUAGUGCAAAUAAAUCGCUUUCCAAGCUGUGCCCUAUCAAUAUGGUGUCUGCACUGAACAUGUUCAGUAGGACGGCUUGGACAUCCCGCAGGGUGAUGCUAGUGUUCUCCAGGUCCUCUUCUGUCACACCUGAGAAUCUGGUGUUGUAGUCCACCACCUUGGUGUCUGGUUUGACAAAGGUGUCGUAUACCACUUUCAGGUCAGAGUUGAUCACAGUUACUCUCGUCAGCUCCAGUCCUUGCUUAGUGUAGCACAUCUCACAGUCUAACGCGAAGAUUCCGGGGUAACCAUCAGUCGUAGGCAACUUCUCAAAAGUCUUCACAAAGCCAUCAAGGCUCUCUUUCCGCCCAUCGUGGACAUGUUGCUUAGCAACCUGGCAGCCUGCUGAACCCACAGCUCCUGAGCAGCAGCUGUAAUGAGUUUCCCAU